CUCCAACUAUUUGACAGACCUGAAGCAGUUACUGUCUGUUCCCAAGGUUUCUACUACAGAUGCAAGAACAAAGUGUCCUUGAACUUUCUGUCUGUCUUACUAUGGCAGCCAAGAUUGAAAGGUGGGAUAGAGGG
This is a small nucleolar RNA of Phyllostomus discolor (pale spear-nosed bat), 134 nucleotides long. RefSeq annotates it as small nucleolar RNA SNORA31. The record is from RefSeq and is a predicted model, not a curated record. The transcript has a single exon. NCBI's taxonomy places the organism in Eukaryota, Metazoa, Chordata, Mammalia, Chiroptera, Phyllostomidae.